GGGGGCGUAAAGGUUUCGACGGGGGGAGGGAGGCCUGGGCAGCGGGUAGCAGCGGGGGAACUGCUCUAUAACUCCUCCAAAAAAUUAACUGACAACAAUAAUUAUCAGUUGCUCGCAGCCUGAGUGCUGCGCGUUCCGCCCACUCUUGUGUCGUGUGGGGCCGGGGCGUCCUUUAGACACAGCACCUGAACGGACUUAAGCUUUGCGGACCGGCAGGAACUCAUGAAGCUA
Molecule: transfer-messenger RNA, 231 nt
Filed under: Faecalibacterium sp.
Lineage: Bacteria; Bacillati; Bacillota; Clostridia; Eubacteriales; Oscillospiraceae
Description: partial transfer-messenger RNA
Rfam family: transfer-messenger RNA
About the family: Bacterial tmRNA, also known as 10Sa RNA or SsrA, is named for its dual tRNA and mRNA-like properties. Its role is to liberate the mRNA from a stalled ribosome.
Source: RNAcentral